Molecule: transfer RNA, 74 nt
Filed under: Saccharothrix longispora
Lineage: Bacteria; Bacillati; Actinomycetota; Actinomycetes; Pseudonocardiales; Pseudonocardiaceae
Description: tRNA-Arg
Source: RNAcentral
GCCCCCGCGGCUCGGUCGGGGCGGAGCGCGACGCCACGAACGUCGAGGUUCCGGGUUCGAGUCCGGCAGGGGCA